This 1164-nucleotide ribosomal RNA is filed under the name Bacillus cereus group sp. RNAcentral describes it as "bacterial SSU rRNA". It matches the Rfam family "Bacterial small subunit ribosomal RNA", at positions 200 to 1348 of the family's 1533-position model. The record is from RNAcentral. Lineage: Bacteria; Bacillati; Bacillota; Bacilli; Caryophanales; Bacillaceae.
UUGAAAGGCGGCUUCGGCUGUCACUUAUGGAUGGACCCGCGUCGCAUUAGCUAGUUGGUGAGGUAACGGCUCACCAAGGCAACGAUGCGUAGCCNACCUGAGAGGGUGAUCGGNCACACUGUNACUGAGCCAGGUCCAACUCUCAUACGGGAGGCAGCAGUAGGGAAUCUUCCGCAAUGGACGAAAGUCUGACGGAGCAACGCNGCGUGAGUGAUGAAGGCUUUCGGGUCGNAAAACUCUGUUGUUAGGGAAGAACANGUGCUAGUUGAAUAAGCUGNCACCUUGACGGUACCUAANCAGAAAGCCACGGCUAACUACGUGCCAGCNGCCGCGGUAAUACGUAGGUGGCAAGCGUUAUCCGGAAUUAUUGGGCGUANAGCGCGCGCAGGUGGUUUCUUAAGUCUGAUGUGAAAGCCCACGGCUNANCCGUGGAGNGUCAUUGGNAAACUGGGAGACUUGAGUGCAGAAGAGGAAAAGUGGAAUUCCAUGUGUAGCGGUGAAAUGCGUAGAGAUAUGGAGGAACACCAGUGGCGAAGGCGACUUUCUGGUCUGUAACUGACACUGAGGCGCGAAAGCGUGNGGGAGCAAACAGGAUUAGAUANCCUGGUAGUCCACGCCGUAANCGAUGAGUGCUAAGUGUUAGAGGGUUUCCGCNCUUUAGUGCUGAAGUUNACGCAUUAAGCACUCCGCCUGGGGAGUACGGCCGCAAGGCUGAAACUCANAGGAAUUGACGGGGGCCCGCACAAGCGGUGGAGCAUGUGGUUUAAUUCGAAGCAACGCGAAGAACCUUACCAGGUCUUGACAUCCUCUGAAAACCCUAGAGAUAGGGCUUCUCCUUCGGGAGCAGAGUGACAGGUGGUGCAUGGUUGUCGUCAGCUCGUGUCGUGAGAUGUUGGGUUAAGUCCCGCAACGAGCGCAACCCUUGAUCUUAGUUGCCAUCAUUAAGUUGGGCACUCUAAGGUGACUGCCGGUGACAAACCGGAGGAAGGUGGGGAUGACGUCAAAUCAUCAUGCCCCUUAUGACCUGGGCUACACACGUGCUACAAUGGACGGUACAAAGAGCUGCAAGACCGCGAGGUGGAGCUAAUCUCAUAAAACCGUUCUCAGUUCGGAUUGUAGGCUGCAACUCGCCUACAUGAAGCUGGAAUCGCUAGUAAUCGCGGA